UAGUUUAGUUUACUAGUUGAGAAGCAAAGACAGAACGAUGAAGACUUUUGCUUCAUUUYUAUUAGUUUGUCUGUUUUCCUUGAUUUUGGCAAGAGAUAUUCCAGCAGAAAGAUGGAAAAACGAUAUGACAGGAGAAAGAGCAUUAAUGCAGCUUUCUGAUAAUCAAGAACAAUCCGCACGGACGUCCCGGAAAAGGACAUGUUUAGCCUGGUAUAGACGAAAAUGCGCAAAGAGGUCAGUGUUACUCAAGAAAUUGCAACAACCAUCUGUUGUUUCCGAACAGUUUGACGAUACAACCAAGUAAAGAAUUCGAAGAUAUCCUAUAUUCCCUAAUCGUGGUUAUCAAUUUUUCUCUAUCGACAAAACRGUUUAUAGUUAGUGGAUCAACAGACUCGCAAAUUAAGUUUUUCUUUCUUAACAAUUGUAUUGUUGUAAAAACAAUAAAUUAACUGCUCUUAUAAACAUAAUUUGUAUUUGAGAUUACCUCUUUAAAGGACCAGGGUCAGCGGGCGUUCAAUAAAGUCGUGCUUUAGAAUUUUAAGAUAUGGAAAAUAAAUAAAUAAAAAA
Molecule: long non-coding RNA, 567 nt
Organism: Exaiptasia diaphana
Lineage: Eukaryota; Metazoa; Cnidaria; Anthozoa; Actiniaria; Aiptasiidae
Exons: 2
Source: RefSeq, a predicted model, not a curated record